Molecule: ribosomal RNA, 413 nt
Filed under: uncultured bacterium
Lineage: Bacteria
Description: bacterial SSU rRNA
Rfam family: Bacterial small subunit ribosomal RNA
Source: RNAcentral
ACGCUGGCGGCACGCCUAAACAUGCAAGUCGAACGAAGUAGCAAUACUUAGUGGCAGACGGGUGAGUAACAUGUGGGUAUCUACCCUUUGGCCUGGAAUAACACGAGGAAACUUGUGCUAAUACCGGAUAAGUCUUUACGGAGAAAGCUUUAUGCACCAUUGGAUGAGCCCGCACUUGAUUAGUUUGUUGGUAGGGUAAUGGCCUACCAAGACUAUGAUCAAUAGCUGAUUUGAGAGGAUGAUCAGCCACAUUGGGACUGAGACACGGCCCAAACUCCUACGGGAGGCAGCAGUGGGGAAUCUUGCACAAUGGAGGAAACUCUGAUGCAGCGAUGCCGCGUGAGUGAAGAAGGCCUUUGGGUUGUAAAGCUCUUUCGUCGGGGAAGAAAAUGACUGUACCCGAAUAAGAAGGU